This 497-nucleotide ribosomal RNA is filed under the name uncultured bacterium. RNAcentral describes it as "partial 16S ribosomal RNA". It matches the Rfam family "Bacterial small subunit ribosomal RNA", at positions 28 to 507 of the family's 1533-position model. The record is from RNAcentral.
GAUGAACGCUGGCGGCGUGCCUAAUACAUGCAAGUCGAGCGAACGGACGAGAAGCUUGCUUUUCUGAUGUUAGCGGCGGACGGGUGAGUAACACGUGGAUAACCUACCUAUAAGACUGGGAUAACUUCGGGAAACCGGAGCUAAUACCGGAUAAUAUUUUGAACCGCAUGGUUCAAAAGUGAAAGACGGUCUUGCUGUCACUUAUAGAUGGAUCCGCGCUGCAUUAGCUAGUUGGUAAGGUAACGGCUUACCAAGGCAACGAUGCAUAGCCGACCUGAGAGGGUGAUCGGCCACACUGGAACUGAGACACGGUCCAGACUCCUACGGGAGGCAGCAGUAGGGAAUCUUCCGCAAUGGGCGAAAGCCUGACGGAGCAACGCCGCGUGAGUGAUGAAGGUCUUCGGAUCGUAAAACUCUGUUAUUAGGGAAGAACAUAUGUGUAAGUAACUGUGCACAUCUUGACGGUACCUAAUCAGAAAGCAACGGCUAACUACGUG